This 71-nucleotide transfer RNA is filed under the name Camelus bactrianus (Bactrian camel). It matches the Rfam family "tRNA". From Rfam's summary of the family: Transfer RNA (tRNA) molecules are approximately 80 nucleotides in length. Their secondary structure includes four short double-helical elements and three loops (D, anti-codon, and T loops). Further hydrogen bonds mediate the characteristic L-shaped molecular structure. tRNAs have two regions of fundamental functional importance: the anti-codon, which is responsible for specific mRNA codon recognition, and the 3' end, to which the tRNAs corresponding amino acid is attached (by aminoacyl-tRNA synthetases). tRNAs cope with the degeneracy of the genetic code in two manners: having more than one tRNA (with a specific anti-codon) for a particular amino acid; and 'wobble' base-pairing, i.e. permitting non-standard base-pairing at the 3rd anti-codon position. Lineage: Eukaryota; Metazoa; Chordata; Mammalia; Artiodactyla; Camelidae. RNAcentral also lists the same sequence under 2 other names. The record is from Rfam by way of RNAcentral.
GAGGGUAUAGCUCAGUGGUAGAGUGCCUGCUUAGCAUGCACAAGGUCCUGGGUUCAAUCCCAGUACCUCCA